CCUACGGGAGGCAGCAGUGGGGAAUUUUGCGCAAUGGGGGCAACCCUGACGCAGCAACGCCGCGUGAGUGAUGAAGGCCUUCGGGUCGUAAAGCUCUGUCAGAGGGGAAGAAAUGCAGGUGGUGAACAACCAUUCUGUUUGACGGUACCCUCAAAGGAAGCACCGGCUAACUCCGUGCCAGCAGCCGCGGUAAUACGGAGGGUGCGAGCGUUGUUCGGAAUUAUUGGGCGUAAAGCGCGUGUAGGCGGUUUGUUAAGUCUGAUGUAAAAGCCCCGGGCUCAACCGGGGAAGUGCAUUGGAUACUGGCAGACUUGAGUACGGGAGAGGAGAGUGAAAUCCCCAGUGUAGGAGUAAAAUCCGUAGAUAUUGGGAGGAACACCGGGGGCGAGGGCGGUCCCCUGGCCCGUUACUGACGCUCAGGCACGAAAGCGUGGGGAGCAAACAGGUUUAGAUCCCUUGGUAGU
Molecule: ribosomal RNA, 464 nt
Filed under: uncultured Geobacteraceae bacterium
Lineage: Bacteria; Pseudomonadati; Thermodesulfobacteriota; Desulfuromonadia; Geobacterales; Geobacteraceae
Description: partial 16S ribosomal RNA
Rfam family: Bacterial small subunit ribosomal RNA
Source: RNAcentral